ACCGGAGCUAAUACCGGAUAAUAUUUUGAACCGCAUGGUUCAAAAGUGAAAGACGGUCUUGCUGUCACUUAUAGAUGGAUCCGCGCUGCAUUAGCUAGUUGGUAAGGUAACGGCUUACCAAGGCAACGAUGCAUAGCCGACCUGAGAGGGUGAUCGGCCACACUGGAACUGAGACACGGUCCAGACUCCUACGGGAGGCAGCAGUAGGGAAUCUUCCGCAAUGGGCGAAAGCCUGACGGAGCAACGCCGCGUGAGUGAUGAAGGUCUUCGGAUCGUAAAACUCUGUUAUUAGGGAAGAACAUAUGUGUA
Molecule: ribosomal RNA, 309 nt
Filed under: Staphylococcus aureus
Lineage: Bacteria; Bacillati; Bacillota; Bacilli; Caryophanales; Staphylococcaceae
Description: bacterial SSU rRNA
Rfam family: Bacterial small subunit ribosomal RNA
Source: RNAcentral